GGUGCCGNAGCCGCGUAAUUCCAGCUCCAAGCGUAUAUAAGUUGUUGCAGUUAAAAACUGUAGUGAACUCAGACCGGCUGGGCGGUCCGCUAAGGCGUUACCGUCGGCUGGGCCUUACCUCUGGUGGCCGGCGUGCCCCUAUGGUGUGCGUUGGGGAACCAGGACUUUUACCUUGAGAAAAUAGAGUGUUCAAAGCAGGCCUGUGCCUGAAUACAUUAGCNGGAAUAAUCACAUCGGACUGCGGUUCUAUUNUGUUGGUUUCUAGAGUGCCGUAAUGAUUGAUACGGAUAGUCGGGGGCAUUGGUAAUGAGUCGCUAGAGGUGAAAUUCUUGGAUUGACUCAAGACCAAAUACUGCGAAAGCCUUUGCCAAGGAUGUUUUCCUUAUCAAGAACGAAGGUUAGGGGAUCGAAAACGAUCAGACACCGUGUAGUCUUAACAGUAAACUAUGCUUCCUAGGGAUCGGGCAAUCUCCAACCUGCUGUGUUGCUUGGCACC
Molecule: ribosomal RNA, 496 nt
Filed under: Pleurotus floridanus
Lineage: Eukaryota; Fungi; Basidiomycota; Agaricomycetes; Agaricales; Pleurotaceae
Description: SSU rRNA
Rfam family: Eukaryotic small subunit ribosomal RNA
Source: RNAcentral